UAACUAUGGAAACGGUAGCUAAUACCGCAUAACGUCGCAAGACCAAAGAGGGGGACCUUCGGGCCUCUUGCCAUCAGAUGUGCCCAGAUGGGAUUAGCUAGUAGGUGGGGUAACGGCUCACCUAGGCGACGAUCCCUAGCUGGUCUGAGAGGAUGACCAGCCACACUGGAACUGAGACACGGUCCAGACUCCUACGGGAGGCAGCAUG
This 208-nucleotide ribosomal RNA is filed under the name uncultured bacterium. RNAcentral describes it as "partial 16S ribosomal RNA". It matches the Rfam family "Bacterial small subunit ribosomal RNA", at positions 144 to 353 of the family's 1533-position model. The record is from RNAcentral.